GACUAUGGCCAUCCCACCCUGAACAAGCCUGAUCCCAUCUGAUCUCGGAAGCUAAGCACGGUCAGGCCUGGUUAAUAUUUGGAUGGGAGACCACCUAGGAAUACCAGGUGCUGUAGGCG
This 119-nucleotide ribosomal RNA is filed under the name Pteropus alecto (black flying fox). The record is from RNAcentral. Lineage: Eukaryota; Metazoa; Chordata; Mammalia; Chiroptera; Pteropodidae.